UGGGCGAGAGUGAAUGAGCAGGCCACCUGAGCGCCAUGUUUGAAAUCGCUGAGUUUGUGAUUCGAGCAGCAGAGGAGGACUCACCCAAUCAUGGCGUCUCAGCGUUGGUUUGUUUGGCUGCUGGCGUCCUUUAACUAAGGAGGAAAAAAUGGCGUCUGGAACUAGUAGCAGAUCGAUUAUGGAUAUACUAAGACUAAGAUCUACAAUGAAGCUGAGGAUCGCUUCAAGCUGCCUGGGGGGUCCGCCCGACCCAACAAAGGUAGGUUUGAUCAAGCACCUGUUCGAUGGCGGGCCCAGAAGACUUCUCAGGGUAGGAGCUGAUGCUAGUUUGAUGCUACCGCGUUUGACUUUUGCUGUGCUGGUUUAGUUUGAUUCUCUGCUGAGAGUCUACAAACUGAGAAGGAUUCAGCUGUUGAAAAUCCUUCAGCUGCUGUGGUCAUGUGACCUGUGAUGUAACUAACAUGUUUGAAUCUGAAGUUCAUGGUUGACAUGCAAGAAAGAUGGCUGCCAAGGAUUUGGUAAAUACAGGUUAAGAGGUUGCAGGCAGGGAUUCAGUUUAGGCUUAGUAAAUAUUACUAAAAUAAACCUUCAUAUUAUACCUACAUAGUGAUAAACAUACAUACUUUUUUAUUUUUUGUAUCUAUUUACGCAAACUAUUUCAAAAACAGGGUCCAUACUUUCAUAAUAAAAUAACUCAAACAAAUUUUAUUUGCGUUGAACAAUUUAAAUUUACGUGAAAACCGAUUAUAUUUUUGCGCCAAAACACUGCGCGGCCUUGCGAUUUCAUUUCUUCUGGACGAAGACUCAAGCAAUUUCAUUUCUUCUUGACGAAGACUCAAGCGAUUUCAUUUCUUCUGGACGAAAACUCAAGCGAUUUCAUUUCUUCUGGACAAAGACUCAAACAAUUUCAUUUCUUCUGGAUGACAACUUGCUGCCUCCGGCAAUUUCAUUUCUUCCGGACGAUGACGGUCAACAGAGAUCUGCUGGAGCUGCAAGUUGGAUGUCACAGAGGCAAUGUUCACACUGUCUAAUUCACCACCUCUUAUUUGCAGGUUUAAGCUGAAAUUCACUUAAUUUUCCUUCCAGAGAUGAUCCACUGGGACCUGUCUUUAAGUGUUUUUAACCCAGUUUUUCUCCUAGACUCAGCUACCUGCUGACCCAUUUGUUGCACCUAACAUUUUCUUUCUCCCUUCAGCCUUUAAAAUCCUAAUCAUCCACCAAAGGAGCUUGUACUUCAACUAACUCUAUUUUUUCCUAUAGAAACACUCCUGGAGCAGCUCUUUUUCUUUCUCUGCUCUGUCCUUUCAAAUUCCCCCGGGGGUAGUGACAGGUGACCUUUCAUAAUGAACCAACCUAUGGUUCUGCUGGAGGUUUCUUCCUGUUAAAGGGAAGUUUACCUCUCCACUGUCACUGCAUGGAUCCUUAGUAUGAUGCAUUGUAACGCUUUCUUUUUUGGAAGUUCUUCCUGUUAAAGGGAAGUUUUUCCUCUCUACUGUCAACACAUGCAUCCUCUAUAUGAGGCAUUGCUUUAGUUUUUAUCUAACUCUUAACCACUAUUUGAUAAAUGCAGUUUUUUUUUUUUCUUGGCAAGUCUUCCUGUUAAAGGGAAGUUUUUUUCUCUCUACUGUCCACACAUGCAUCCUCUAUAUGAGGCAUUGCUUUAGUUUUUAUCUAACUCUUAACCACUAUUUGAUAAAUGCAGUUUUUUUUUUCUUGGGAAGUUUUUCAUCUCCACCAUCACCACAUACAUCCUUAGUAUCGUGGUGGAGAAUGGUUUUGAGCUCACAGUUGAGAAUUUAAGGUCUUAUCAACACCACAUGGCGUACGGAUGAAGAAGAUGUAGAAGACUAUCAACGGUUUUUGUUGAUAUGGAGACUGAAGACACCAGAUUGCUUCAGACUGGUAGGUGGUAUGGAUAUCAAGAUGGUCGCUUUGGCGCAGGGCUCUAAACUCACCAGCAGGAAAUGUGGUAUGCUACUUGCUGCAGCCACUGCUCAAGGCUCUGAAGUCAUCGGAUGAGUUCAAGGAAAUUGGUAACGAUGGAGUACCACGAAGCGGUGAAUCCAUUCCAGGUAAAAUCCUUGUUUCAGGAAAAACACCCUAGGCUAUGUGAAAGGUAGGAGUUUGGCUCUUUGGUACAGCAGCCAGAACUGAUCUUGUAUUCCGAACAGCAGGCAAAAGGUGUGUGGAAAAUGGGCCCGAGCGGUGGGCAAAGGUGUGUUGGGGAAAAUGGGCCCGAGCGGCGGGCAAAGGUGUGUUUGUGUGGGAAAUGGGCCCGAAUGGUGGGCAAAGGUGUGUGGGGGAAAAUGGGCCCGAGCAGCGGGCAAAGGUGUUUACGGGAUCCAAUUUAAAGGUCACUAAGAAUUUAGCGAUGACAAAAAACAAGACCAAUGAUCCAUAGGGAAAAAGCCAUUCAGACACCCUGACCAAACUCCCCCCGACUGCACCCGACCAGAGACAGAAAAGGGUUAGACCUGGUACCUGCACUUGUCAUGUUGUCCUUCAGGAAUCCUCCAGGAUCAUCUGGUUUUCGUGUCUGAUUUCACUCCAUCGCCCUCCCUGGCUCAACGGAAUCAGCAGUCUUCCUCAAGAAAUUCUGCAGAAUCCUCCUGGAUCAUCUUGUUUUUGUCCCCGAUAUCGCCCUUCAUCGCCGGCCCCCCAUUGACCAAUGGAAAAAGGCCUUCAUCGCCCACCCCUGCUGAUGGAUGACCCUACCAUCGGAAUCAGCAGUCUUCCUCAAGAAAUGCUGCAGUCAUUGUCCAACCAUGGACCAGCGAAAAAGACCUUUAUGGCCCCCCGCACCAACGGACGGAAAAGACCUUCAUCGGCCCCGCCCACUGAUGGAUGACCUUGGUGACCCUACCACCGGACUUAGCAGGUUUUCUUCCAGGUGAGCAGGAAUCCUCCUGGAUCAUCUCAUUUUCUUCUCUGAUUUCGCCCUUCAUCGCCACCGCUGCCACUAAUGGAACAGGCCUUCAUCUCAUCGCAUCUGCAUCAGUCUUUUUUCUUUUUUUUUUGGACAAUUUUGUUUAGAGACUUUUUGAUUAAUUUUUUAUGUUGGCUGUUAACUUUUUGUCUUCUCAGUUAUUCUCUGUAUAGAAGCUUCACUUGAUUCUGACUGGCUUUGGUUCCUUCCUGGAGGAGGGCAUUGGCUGACAUGAUGCUGCUAUCACCUAACCGUUCUCCAUCUCCUGCUGUUAACUUUUCACUUCCAUGAACAUCGAAAGUUCUCCCGAUCAGUUGACCUAUUGCUGUGUCUCUGCUCUGUCUCGUCUCAGCUCCAGUCGGUUGUCGGCUGCUAGUACUGAGCCCGGUUCUAGUUCUGCUGGAGGUUUCUUCCUGUUGGAGGGGAGUUCUUCCUCGCCACUGUCGCCACAUGCAUUCUUGGUAUGAGUGAUUGCUGUAGAGUCAACGACCCAACUCAAGUGAUUUACUGUCGCCUCCUACUGGUCCAGGAGGAGUGAAUGCUGCGAGUAAUGACUCCAUGCAAUCUGUUGAGUUUCCUUGUGGUACAAACCUUUUAAACUACUUUAAUAAUUAGCUGAGCUUAUUGUACUGGUAACUAAUACCAAUUGGAAUAUGUGAUUGGACUAAAAUUAUUCUGAAGUGUAUUGAGAUGACAUCUGUUGUGAAUUGGCGCUAUAUAAAGUUGAACACUUAAACCAACAAAUGUGCCCCACCAACAACCAAUAUAAAAAAACACAAAAACCAAUAUAAAAAAACACAAAAACCACUAUAAAAACUGUUCAAAAACCAAUACAAAACCCUAAUUAACUAUACAAAAACUGUUCAAAACCCUCAAAAAAAUACAAAAAUCCCCAAAUAAAAACAGUUGAAAACCCCAAACCAACAACUAAACCUCCAAUUAAACAGUAAAAUGUUAAUUCACAACAGUGUUGUCAAGGCAUUUUACAAAGCCAUUUCAAUUCAGUCAUAGAUCACAGUUGAUCCUACUUAUUAAUGUAUUAGGUUCAGUUAAUCAUUAAAGUAGUUUAAAAAGUUUGUACCACAAGGAAAUUCAACAGAUUGCAUGGAGUCAUUACUCGCAGCAUUCACUCCUCCUGGACCAGUAGGAGGCGACAGCAAAUCACUUGAGUUGAGUCGUUGACUCUACAGCAAUCACUCAUACCAAGAAUGCAUGUGGCGACAGUGGCGAGGAAGAACUCCCCUCCAACAGGAAGAAACCUCCAGCAGAACUAGAACCGGGCUCAGUACUAGCAGCCGACAACCGACUGGAGCUGAGACGAGACAGAGCAGAGACACAGCAAUAGGUCAACUGAUCGGGAGAACUUUCGAUGUUCAUGGAAGUGAAAAGUUAACAGCAGGAGAGUGGGAACGGUUCGGUGAUGGCAGCAUCAUGUCAACAACCCAUGCAAGGGCAGGAACCACAGCCAAGGGGAUUUGUGUAAACUAAAAGGUAUAUACUGUUUUAUCUAUUUAUGCAUUUAACUUUUGUUUUUUGGUUAGUUGUUGUAGAUAUAAAGGCCUUAAUGCCAGUAUUGUCUGUUUUUCUUUCCAUUGUAGUAUUGUGAUAUUUGUCCUUGUUAAAAAUCCUUUGUGAUGUUUGUUUAAAAUAAAGUAGAAAAAAGCCUGUAAGGAAACAGAACCAAGCUGAUUGAAGGGAUCCAUUUUAAUACCGUCAGAACAGUGAUGAACAAACACCAAAGUGCCACCUUCAGGCCUCUCUCCAGAUCGACUAAAUAAAUCUUUCUGGUUUUAUUUUU
Molecule: long non-coding RNA, 4724 nt
Organism: Xiphophorus hellerii (green swordtail)
Lineage: Eukaryota; Metazoa; Chordata; Actinopteri; Cyprinodontiformes; Poeciliidae
Exons: 5
Source: RefSeq, a predicted model, not a curated record